This is a long non-coding RNA of Tympanuchus pallidicinctus (lesser prairie-chicken), 657 nucleotides long. RefSeq lists it as uncharacterized. The transcript has 5 exons. NCBI's taxonomy places the organism in Eukaryota, Metazoa, Chordata, Aves, Galliformes, Phasianidae. The record is from RefSeq and is a predicted model, not a curated record.
CUGCACCUCUCUUAGCCCUCAUUUAAGGGCUGAAUGUCAUGGGGGAAGGGUCUCUGGUUGGAGAUCCCUCUUGUCUGGAGUUUUCCCUGUGAGCCUAAGUUUUCAGAGAUGGGCAGGGUUAUCUCCUGCCAAGUGCUUGGGUUUAGCAACUGAACUACAUCCUUCAGCUGCACCUAAAAGCGAAGAAAUGCUGUAGCUGGGAGGGCACUGCCCAACUCCUCCUUCACUGGGACAGCACGAUAACACUGAGGUGUCCCAGGCUGGGUCCAUCUGCAGCCCCAGCUGGAUACGUGCUGCUCCCUCGUCACCCUCCAGGAUGAUCCCAAAAAGAGGAAUGCUGACAUUAGGGGAAAAAAUGCUCUGUGAAUUGAUACUCCUGUCCUUGGUGUUUACGUGGAGACAGCGGAGGUCAGGAGCUUCAGCCACAGGCUGCAGAACCCCGUCCGUGAAGGGGCAGAUGUCCCAGCUCCAUUACCUGAGCAAAUGGCUGAGUAUCUCACACUUUCGCACUCACGCUUCAGUCUGAAACCUCUGCACUCAAGUGGAAAAUCCUACAGUUACAGCUGGCUUGGGCAGCACAGCCCCAUGGUGCAGUGCCAUUCCCAGUGCUGGAGGUGUGGGCAUAUCAGUGGUCCCACCGCUCACACCAAGGCUGAG